GGAUGAUGGGUGUGUGUGUGCUGGAUGAUGGGUGUGUGAGUGCUGGAUGAUGGGUGUGUGAGUGCUGGAUGAUGGGUGUGUGUGUGCUGGAUGAUGGGUGUGUGCUGGAUGAUGGGUGUGUGUGUGUGCUGGAUGAUGGGUGUGUGUGUGUGCUGGAUGAUGGGUGUGUGAGUGCUGGAUGAUGUGUGUGUGUGUGCUGGAUGAUGUGUGUGUGUGUG
Non-coding RNA from Pelobates cultripes (western spadefoot toad), 218 nucleotides. NCBI's taxonomy places the organism in Eukaryota, Metazoa, Chordata, Amphibia, Anura, Pelobatidae. The record is from the annotation of a GenBank genome assembly.